CUUUUAUUAUAUAGAAAGAUCAAGAAAUUUUAACUGACUCCUGAAUACUGAACCGACAUAGCCACUCCAAAUCUUCAGAAAACAUUUAGGCCAGAAAUAGCAAAUGAAGCUCCACGGCUGGCCUAUAUGGCAGUAGAUAUUGGGAGAAUAUAAAUAUUUACCUGCGGUCUUAGUGAGGAUUUGGUAUGUUUCAAAAGUAAUAAGCCAACAGAGUGGAACAGUUACCUGAAUUAGGUUUUAAAAAUCACUUUGACCUCCAGAAAAAGAAAUCAAUAGAAAUUUAUCAUGAGAUGAUUUAGGACAUUGACAUAUUUCUCAGAAAUAAAAACAGGAAAUACUGUAUUAAAGAAGUACUUUGAUAAUUACACAUAUGUAAAACAAAAGGUGAAAUGAGUCAGGCAGAAAAUUCUAAAUGAGACCAAGUAAAGAUCCUACUUAAAGAAAUAAAAUUAUUAGAACUAGAGUAGGUAGUGAAUAGGAAAUCAUACUGGGGGACUUCUCCUCUCUUAAAUUUUAACAUACAAAUAGUGAAACAGAAUGAAUAGCAUGAGGAAUAAUUUUGUGUAACUGUCUAAAAUUUUAUGUAUGUAGCAGGUAUAUAAAGAUUAAGAUUUAUGUAUUAUAAAAUAUAUCACAGUGAGGUUUUAAUUUUACUUUUAAAUGUGAGAGACAUUUCAAGAAAUGGUAGUAAUGCACAUUUUGGUGCACAGUGGAUUGUGAAGCACGUAUUCAUUUAAGAGGAAAGUGUUUACUUUUGGAAAAACCUAAAACUUGAGUGUUGUUGCAAUAAAAAUAGGAAUAUAUUGAAGAAUUUAAGUUAAAUUCGAUGGUAUUGAUGAUGUACUUGAUCUUUUUAGUGUUUGGAUGGAAAAACAAAGUAGAGCAAGCCAAGAAGAAACCAUCUUUUGAAAGUCAUGGUAGGCACAAACUGCCACCUCUUUCAAGAACUAAAGUCCCCCAAAGAAGUCUGAGGUGUGGAAGAGGAGGAAGUGGUACACCAAGAGGUCGUUCUUCACGUGAAGGGUGCUUGGGUAAUAUCUUAAGAUUCAAGGAUGCAAACAUAGGAUCAAAAACCAAUGAUGGUGGAUAUACUCUUAAUCUCAGAAGAAGAAGUCUGCUGUCUUUUUGAAACACUACAUAAAGAAAAGCCGAAGCUGUGGGGGAGAGGCCCAGAGAGAGAAUGGAAGGGAGAUAGGUUGCUGUGAGGUGCUUUAGAGUCCCCAGCAGACUUACUACAGACUUAGCAGGAUAAAUAAAUAACUAAAUAGAAGAUAAAUAGAUAAGUGC
RNAcentral lists this long non-coding RNA (1287 nucleotides) under Castor canadensis (American beaver). RNAcentral describes it as "lncRNA (ENSCCNG00000001490.1)". Lineage: Eukaryota; Metazoa; Chordata; Mammalia; Rodentia; Castoridae. The record is from RNAcentral.